Fundulus heteroclitus (mummichog) is the source of this 1062-nucleotide long non-coding RNA. RefSeq lists it as uncharacterized. NCBI's taxonomy places the organism in Eukaryota, Metazoa, Chordata, Actinopteri, Cyprinodontiformes, Fundulidae. The record is from RefSeq and is a predicted model, not a curated record. The transcript has 3 exons.
UGUGGAGCUUUCAGACCAAUUACAAACUCCAACGCUAUAUGCACAGUGAACAGGCAGUUUCCAUCAGUCUGCAGCAUUCCAAACAACGAGAGCACACACCGCCUAAAACCUGUCAAACAAGAGCCUCUUUAGGGCGGCUCUCUCCGCGCUGUCAUAGCUGUGGCUGUGAAAUGCUGUGAUUAUCACUCGAGGGGACGCCGCGUGCAGAAAUGACGGCUUCUGAAAGCAGAGUGGCAGUCAAGAAAUUAGGAAUGUUUUCUGAACACUUUCACCUGGGCAUGGAGGUUAGCCACUGAAGUAUUACCUGGCGAUUCAGCCUCUGAAGAUUUCCAGUUCACCUUUCCCAGACUCAUAACACUCAUAAAGCGUGACAGAUCUCUGUUUCCACGGGGGUUUCCAUCCCUGGCUUCACUGGAAGGAGAGCGCAGUCCGCCCUCAAACGAACACCAUCCCAGAGCGGAGAUCGCCUACCAGAUCAGUACCCUGGCCUCUGCCAACUCCCCUCCUGGUUUGCUCCCUCCCAGAAAAUCAUGGCUCGGACGUCCGAACCCCUCCUGGAUCAAGAACCAUCUAAGACCCCAUUUCCAAUAAACUGUCAAAUGAUCACUGCUGUCUCUAGGAACAUUUUUCUUUUGGGUCAGAAAACUGCCUAACGCUGCGAGAAAUACAGGCAAACGCUGGAAGGAAUUCUGACAGAAAAUUGCAAAAGGUUCACCUAAUGGCAGGGCAAUGACCCUAAACAUACGGCCGGAGGUACAAAGGAGGGGUUUAGUUCAAAAUGUAAUUUUGUUUUACAAACGGUACAAAACGUUCAGCCUCUGGAAGGGCAAAACUGUUACGUAAAAAAAAGUUGCAGUUGGAAUUGCAGAAAAAAGCAGCUCGACAAAGCAAUGACGUAGGGCGGCUGAAAACAGAUUUACACCAUGCUUUUUCAUAUUAUUAUUUGUAAAACAAAAAAAAGAAGAAAUUGACACACCAUGUAACAUUUUCCUCUGUCUUCACAAUGAUGCACUAUUUUGUGUAGGUCUGCUAAAUAAAAUCCCAAUAACAUGAGGAAACAUU